Equus caballus (horse) is the source of this 6134-nucleotide non-coding RNA. The record is from RefSeq and is a predicted model, not a curated record. Lineage: Eukaryota; Metazoa; Chordata; Mammalia; Perissodactyla; Equidae.
GCUUUUAUAACUCAAAAUAGUGACUCUGGGUCCCUGGGUUCUGAUGCUAGCUGUUUUGGCGUCCUGCAGUCAUUUGUUUUGUUCAUGUGUAAAAUGGGGUGGUUGACCUGUGUAACCUCUAAGCUCUUCAAAAAAAAAGGCGUUUGUGCUCCUUGGCCUUGACCAUUCCCACAGGAGAAUGAAAAUCAAUUAUAUAGGAUGCUGGAGCUUCUGAAGGACACCACGUGGCUGUGAGUGGAAACACCCUUGGCUGUAGAGGAGGGUUUUUUGCUGAGGAAGCUGACUACCUCCAAUGAAGGCCUCUGAGAAGAGAUUUUGGGAGCACCCAUGGAAUAAAGGUUGGUACUGACUCUCUGGGCUCGAGACUGGUGCUCUGUGGCUGAGUCAGCUGGGGGUCAAAGAUGCCAACAUUAGACCAGCUUUGAAAGAGGACAAGAUGGUGCUGCCUGGCAACGCCCAUGUCAUUUCUGCCUGUGGCUUGAACAUGCUCUCUAUGCAGCUGAGAAAAUCACAGAAGGAAUUUCAUGAACUCACAGACCUUUCAUUAUUCCAGAAACUAGGGAGAGGAUGGAUCAGUAUUAAGACUGGGGUAAGCAUUGCAUACCUCUUCCUGGUCCCUUUAAGACCGCAAUCUGUCUUCCUGAGCUGGGGCAGGCUGUGUUUAGUUUUGGUAUUGACACCAGGCAGUUCUGAUUCACAGCAGUAACCUUCUUGUUUCCAUUUCAUUAAUUUUCAUUAAGGCUUAAAUAGCCAUGCAUGUGGCCUGGAUUUGGGGAAUUAGGGUGGAUCUCAACAAUUAAAAGUCCUUUAGGUCUUGCAGGUUAUCUCUGAGUAGAGAAAGACCAGAGAGAAAAACUCUCCCCCCCCCACCUCUUUUACUGCUGUGUUAGUUGAAGUGAUUUCAGUGGGACAAAUUGAAUAUGGGAAUGAUUUGCAUUUUAUUGCCCAGGUCUGCUCAUUGGGUCAGAAGAUGUCAUAAAGCAGAAGCCCACAGUUGCUGACAACCUCAGAGACAGCAGGCUGCUUCACAAAGAAAGUGGACUGGCUGUUCUCAUUCUUUAGAACGCGGCGGUAUAAUAAGCCACAUGCGUUUCCAGCCGAACUGCUCUGGCUCUGAGAGUCAGGUUUUGUGUUUUUCCAAGACCCAGGGAAGCAAAUAAGCCUGAGCAGAAGUUGGGGAGGUGGUCUGAAUUUAAGAAAGCAAGAAACCUGAGGUCUAGAAAAGAUUAGACUUGGAUGGCAACCUAGUAAGAAUUUUCUCUAAAACGUGGGUAGAAAUCUAAUCUAUGUGUUGGUGCUGUUGGACUUGUAAAAAGUUUAUAGCUGUAGGUUCUUGUUGUCUGAGGCAAGGAUUAGACCCUCCUGCUGGGAGAGGCAGGUAACACGAAUGGGCGAAGUGGGUCAGGUGGCCCAUAGGGAGCCUUUGUGUGAAUUAGGAAAAGGGGCCCCUUCCUCCCUGUGGAGGCCAACUGGGCUGCCUUUGAUUUCAGCCUUUCUGGGCCCCCUCAGCAGGCACAACCUAUCCAACUAAAUGCCUAUCUGAAAGGGGCACCCUGCUCAGCUCAAGACAACAUUUAUCAUGCCUGGGUGUGGACCCCACUUGCUAACAGCUUCUGAUUUGUUUUUAAAAACUGGAAAUUUAAUUUUUUUGUGUGAAAUAUCCUGAUUUUAAAAUGGAAGCCACAUCUUCAACUUUUUGUUCCCCCUAAAUAGUGUUGGAGUGAACCACCCAGGCGUGUGUGAGGGGUGGAUUGGGCUGCAAGUUUUCAGACCCUGGGAGGGUAGCGUAAAGGCGUUACUAAUACUCCACCCCUACUCUGACACACACACACACAAUUGAAACAAGAGUUCAGGCUCCUGGGAUUCUUUUCUUUGAUUCUUACACCCAAAUGAGCACACUUUUGGGAAAGAACAAAUGCCAAGCCAUGAGCGUCUUCAGACUGGUAAGGAGGAGAGUGCUCUCCAACAGAAGAGGGUAAAAACCCAAGGAAGUGAGAUGCAGGGCCCUUAAGAGAGGGCCUUCAUCAAGUGAGGUGAGCGCGGUUAACCAGGAGGGACAUUCUGCUCCAGGUGGUGGUCUUCUCUAGCCCAUGAUGAGCUUUGCCUCUUUAAUUGCCAAGCUGACUAGAAGAAUUCCACGUCUCCCCCUGGGGCAUUAAAAAUUGGGAAGGCAAAGGAGGAAUUCAUUGAGGGUGGCUGGCACGUCAGCUCCCUGGGGGGCCGAGCUCUGAGCAAUGCCUUGUGCCUCCCAGAGGCCCGUGACUCCGGCCCUGACAGUGUUUGGUCUUCCCUGCUGAGCCCAGGUUGAGUGCAUAGAGAUGGCUAAUUAAACUCUGAACUGACAAACACUCUGGAGAGACCCUUCUUUGAAGAGCAGGAGAUCACAGGGACAAUUUCCUGUUUGCCAGUUUGCAACCCCGGGUCUCAUCGGUUUGGGAAUGUGUUAAGUUUAACUAAGGCAUGUUGAUGGCAUUCAGUACCAUUCCCCUUCUGCUGAAAGUUCUAAUCCCGGAUUGGUGGUGAUCUCUUUUCUUCCCCCAUUUCAUUUUCAGGUGUGUGUGCUUUGGAGGGGGAGGGGUAUGUUAGAUCAGUCAAGCUUUAAGGGCGUAGUUAACCCAGAGAGUCUUUUGGUAUGACUGUUCUAUUAAAGGAAGAAAAGUAUGUCCUUCUGCCCAUAGAUGUAUAUUCACGCAUGUAUCCAGAUUUCCAUAUGCAUUUGAUAGGUAGAUGCAAAUACACACAAUAUAUAUGGAAGUAGAGUCAACAAUGUGGUUAGUUUGGUUUGGGGCCUUUGUGUGUCCUAUUCCCCUUCUGGGGUGAUCAGUUGGUUCCCAAAUGGUACUGAAGGACAGUGCUUCUCACAAGCAACCAAGGGGACCAAAUCUUUCUUUCGGGUAGGAUGUGUUGCAUAUGGUGGGCAUCCAGCAAAGAUCAGUUUAUCUGAUUUCUGUGAUUGCUUCAUUUGCUUUCAAGCUGUAAGAAAAAUAGAUACGUUCAAAUUGUGGAUUUGCCCUGUAUCGAACUGCUGGGAUCACAUUUAUCAAUGACUGUGGGAAUGGUGCUGUGGAGGCAGGGAGGGAGCAGGGAUGAGCUUAGCCAAAAGGAUAUGAAGUUGCACACCAUUGCUGAUGAAGGUACCAGUCAAAGGCAAAAGACAAACAGCAGGUCUUGCAGAAAAGAAGUAUUAGCAUCACCUCUUGACCUGUCAUUCUCACACUGUUUUCCAUGGUCGCUAGGAUACUCUGAACUGGUUAAAUGGCAAAUGGUGGCGACUCUUCAUUGUUUGUUCCUCGUGCAGACAUUGCUCCCAUUUUGCCACAUGAUUUUAUACGCACACACACAGGGCUUUGUGGUGGCGGAGGCAGGAUACAGAGUCAGUAGACAAACAUCCAGCCUCGAGGAGUUUCCAGUGUGGUGGGGGAGGCUUGUGGAUUUUUAAAAUAAGCUGGCUCAUUAUCUUUUGGAAAUAGGUGAGACAUACAAUAUUUAAAAAAAAUUACCCCAGCAUUAUCUUAACUCGAUCUUUGGCCAAGAAUUCAAACUGGAAGCUCUGUAGGUUAAAAAAAAGAAAAAAAUUCAGAGCAUAAAAUAUGAGCCCUUUAUCUUCAGUGUCUGUGAGCUUCCUUGUGGACUAUAAAGGGAAAAUACGAAAAAGCUAGGAAAGAUUGAGGGUUUAAAACUAACUACAGAAAGCAGUGGUUUGUCUGGCAUGGUUUUCCACUCAUGGACCAGUUUGCUGCAUUGGCCGUGGGCUGUGAAGUUCUAGCUAAGAACAGUUACUGUGUUACUUUGUACAAAUCCUAUGCCUCUCUGAGCUCUGUCUUCAUCAUCUGCCAAAUGUGUUUAAUAAUAAGGACCUCACAGAGUUAUGUUAAAGGAGAAAAUGAAUAUAUGUUACCUUGUACAGUACUCACUGAGUGUUAUGAUAUGUGGGGAUCUGGAGUCUGACUGACCUGAGUUCAAAUGCUGGCUCUGCAGCUAUCCAGCUAUGUGGCCUUAGGCAAAUCAUUUAGCCCCUCUGAGCUUCCGUUUUCUCAACUGAAAACCUGGGCUGCCUUCUCAGUGUUGUUGUGAGGAGUGAGACGGUGCAGGUAAGAGAGCAAAGUGCAGGGUCUGGCCAAGAAUGAAUGUUUAAUAAAUUUGGGGUGGUCUUAGCUGCUUUGAAUGUAAUUCAUUCUACCAGCCUCCUACUACCCCCAGUGCUGCCCACUACUUGUGCCUCCCACUACCUAUCUGCUGAGCGGGAUGUACGCUGUUCAGUGGAGGAGCUUCUAGGGGCUUCUGGGCUUCUUCCCCAAGCAGGCCUCCAGUUCUGCAUCCUGCUCUCCUUGGGACCCUGGUGGAGGAAGGUUCUGAAGCCUCCAGUUCUCCACAGCAUGCCAUAAAAACCCCAGGAGAGAGCCCGUUAGCACCUGCACACUUGGGGACCCGUGUCAGCAGGAUGGCCGGGAGCUUCCUGCUGAAACCCGAGGGCAAGGCGGGUUCACUGAGGCCCUUCAUUAAGAUGAGUUAUGAGCCCGCGGGUCUCUCUGGCUCAAUUUGGCCCAGGCUGAGAGGCUGAGGCCCAGCCGGCCCCCUGCCUGCACGGCAUGAAACCCUCUUCCUCUGCUCCCCUCCCUGGCCGCUUCCCACCCCUCCGCGUACCCCCUACCCUCCUUUAAUGAAAGAGAAAGGCAUCGACCCCUCCAGGGGGUCCUCAGAGCAAGAGGUAGAGAUCAACCUAAGGAACUGUUUUCUUGUCACUGGCAGGCACCUGGCUGACCAGGCCUGGCCCAGGCCCUUUGUGACAUGUGCAGAGCACCCCCCAUCCUCCCCCUCCUGCCACAGGCCAUUUACAAGUCCACACAGCCAGGAGGGAGCGGGGCCAUGGGGGCCUCAGAGCUAGCUGUGCAUUCAUUCCCAUCCUAAGCCACAGGCAUUGGUCCAGGCCCCGAGAAUGCUCAGAUAAACCAAACAGACAAGUUCCGUGGUCCCACUGAGUCUUCAGAGACCACAGACACACAGACACACCGAGGGUGAAAUGGAAAUGUCAAGUUCUCGUAAGUACUAUGCAGAGAACGAACUAGUAGGGGGAGCUAGUGGUGGUCAGGAGCGGGGAGAACCCGGCUUGGGAGGUAUGAUAGUCAGGGAAGGUGCCCAAGGUGACAGGGAGGUGGUGACAUUCAAGCUGAGUUCUAACUCAGUGCUUCUCACACUUCACAUGGAUAGAAUCCCCUGGGGGCCUUUUUAAAAAUGCAGAUUCUGACUCAGAAGACCUGGGUGGGGCCUUAGACUGCAUUUCUGAAGACCUCCCAAGUGAGGCUGAUGCAGCUGGUCCAUGGACCACACUUUGAGCAGCAAGGUUCUAAAUGCCAAUGAGGCCUCACCUAGGGGGUUGCUUUAGACCUUCUUGCAGAGAAUGCUCCAGGCAGGGAAAUAGCCAAUGGAAAUGCAGAUGAGGACCAGCUCAGCUUGUUAGAAGCACCGAAGGCAGACUAGCAUGGCUCAAGAAAGGACUAGAAGCAAUCAGAGAGAGGCGGGGAAGAACCAGAUCAUGGAGGGCUCUGCAUGAAAGGCAAUGGGAACUCUGAAGUGAGUGCUGUCAUUAAUAGUUUUCCCUCGAUUGUUCUGUCUGUAUGUUAGACACUGAGUCCCUCCUGUGCUUCUGCCUAGAAUGUUCCUGGGCCUGAACCAAGCUCAGUCAACCCAUCACAGAUUUGGGGGACCUUGCAAGGAAAACUUUCAUAUAGUCCACUCUGGCAUAGCUAAAAUUUAGGCAAAUACUUUCCUCACUCUGGAGUUUCAGAAAGGGAGAAUUUCUUGACAAGAUACCUUCAAACUCACAAAAUUUUAGGACACAGCUUUUAUCAUUUCCCAGGAUUUAGGGACACAUACACCAGCAGCACCAAAAACACACCUAAAGAGAAAGCUCUGGGUCCACCGCAUCCCCCAUGCAAAGACACUUUAUUCCCCAAGUCUGCACUUAUUGGCUCAAAACAAAUAAAUGUAAAAAUCCUGGCCUCAACAAAUCCCCUCCUUCCUCCAUCUCCUACCAGAGUCACAGUUGCUUUAGACUUCCUUGUGGAAGGAGAAGAGACGACUAAAAUUCAAACCCUACCAUCAUCCCAGAGUGUCUGGUCCAAAAUUAGAACAAA